UUUAAAUGGCCGCAGUAUACUAACUGUGCAAAGGUAGCAUAAUCAUUAGUCUUUUAAUUGAAGGCUGGUAUGAAUGGUUGGACGAAAUAUUAACUGUUUCAUAAAAAUUUUUAUUAGAAUUUUAUUUUUUAGUCAAAAAGCUAAAAUAACUUUAAAAGACGAGAAGACCCUAUGAAUCUUUAUAUUUAGUUUAUUAUAAUUAUAUAGAUUAUUUUUGUUAUUAUAAAUUAUAAUAUUUUAUUGGGGUGAUAUUAAAAUUUAAUAAACUUUUAAUUUUAAAAUAUCAUUAAUUUAUGAAUAAUUGAUCCAUUAGUAAUGAUUAAAAAAUUAAGUUACUCUAGGGAUAACAGCGUAAUUUUUUUGGAGAGUUCAUAUCGAUAAAAAAGUUUGCGACCUCGAUGUUGGAUUAAGGUAUAAUUUUAGGUGUAGUCGCUUAAAUUUUAAGUCUGUUCGACUUUUAA
RNAcentral lists this ribosomal RNA (461 nucleotides) under Fannia armata. Its description in RNAcentral is "partial 16S ribosomal RNA". It matches the Rfam family "Bacterial large subunit ribosomal RNA", at positions 1922 to 2591 of the family's 2925-position model. The record is from RNAcentral. Lineage: Eukaryota; Metazoa; Arthropoda; Insecta; Diptera; Fanniidae.